Oncorhynchus keta (chum salmon) is the source of this 1416-nucleotide long non-coding RNA. RefSeq lists it as uncharacterized. Lineage: Eukaryota; Metazoa; Chordata; Actinopteri; Salmoniformes; Salmonidae. The transcript is spliced from 2 exons. The record is from RefSeq and is a predicted model, not a curated record.
CAUUAUACACACACACACAUUAUAUACACACACACAGACACACAUUAUAUACACACACACAUUAUAUACACACACACAGACACACAUUAUAUACACACACACAUUAUAUACACACACACACACAUUAUAUACACACACACAUUAUAUACACACACACAGACACACAUUAUAUACACACACACAGACACACAUUAUAUACACACACACAGACACAUUAUAUACACACACACACACAUUAUAUACACACACACACACACACAUUAUAUACACACACACACACACACACAUUAUAUAUACACACACACACACAUUAUAUACACACACACAUAAUAUACACACACAUUAUAUAGGUAUUAUAUAGAGCCCCCUGUGUUUGUAGAUUAUAGAACCACUAGAAGGGAGGGUUUCCCUUCUGAACAGCGGUCCAUGGUGGAUGGACCAGACCGGCUGCCAUUUUGGGCUUCUAUGGACCCUUGAUGGGCUGGAUGUUAGAGUCACCUGCUCCGGAAGUUCUGCAGUUGUUUCAUGACGUCGGCCAUUUUACAUCAACUAGAUGAAAUUUGCCGCCAUUUUGACAGUUCGUGUGGAUUUUUAGAACUAUAUCUGUUCUAGAAUUGAUCUGUUCUAGAAUUGAUCUGUUCUAGAAUGUAUAUUUCUAUGACCUGAGUAACCACUGCACUGAGAAGCAGACAGACAGUCCUCCUGAACUCUGGACUCUGACCUGUGGAAUAGUCAAUAGGUCAAUACAGGGUCAUUAUCUGUGGAACCCUGAGAGGUGAAAGGUCAAAGAGGCCUGACCUGUGACCCUGGGGAUCGUAGUGGAUUAUGGGAACUGCAGUCUCAGGACGAGGAAGACUCUUAAUGACAUCACUGAUAUGAUGACAUUGCGGAUGACAUUAUCACAGCAGGAGACCAAUCAUAGGACUGAGAACUCACAUCCUGCUUGUCUCCAACUUCUUCUUCUUCAGCCGUUCCUUCUGAUUCUGUUACAUCAGAGAUAGACAGAGACACUAAAUAGAGGAGGAAGAGUUGACAGAGACAGAGACACUAAAUAGAGGAGGAAGAGUUGGUAGAGACAGAGACACUAAAUAGAGGAGGAAGAGUUGGUAGAGAGACAGAGACAGAGACACUAAAUAGAGGAGGAAGAGUUGGUAGAAAGACAGAGACAGAGACACUAAAUAGAGGAGGAAGAGUUGACAGAGACAGAGACACUAAAUAGAGGAGGAAGAGUUGGUAGAAAGACAGAGACAGAGACACUAAAUAGAGGAGGAAGAGUUGGUAGAGAGACAGAGACACUAAAUAGAGGAGGAAGAGUUGGUACAGAGACAGAGACACUAAAUAGAGGAGGAAGAGUUGGUAGAGAGACAGAGACAGAGACACUAAAUAGAGGAGGAAGAGUUGGUAAAGACAGAGACA